UACGUAGGGUGCGAGCGUUAAUCGGAAUUACUGGGCGUAAAGGGUGCGCAGGCGGUCUUGCAAGUCAGAUGUGAAAUCCCCGGGCUUAACCUGGGAAUUGCGUUUGAAACUGCAAGGCUAGAGUGCAGCAGAGGGGAGUGGAAUUCCACGUGUAGCAGUGAAAUGCGUAGAGAUGUGGAAGAACACCGAUGGCGAAGGCAGCUCCCUGGGCUGACACUGACGCUCAUGCACGAAAGCGUGGGGAGCAAAC
RNAcentral lists this ribosomal RNA (250 nucleotides) under uncultured Nitrosomonas sp. Its description in RNAcentral is "partial 16S ribosomal RNA". It matches the Rfam family "Bacterial small subunit ribosomal RNA", at positions 524 to 773 of the family's 1533-position model. The record is from RNAcentral. Lineage: Bacteria; Pseudomonadati; Pseudomonadota; Betaproteobacteria; Nitrosomonadales; Nitrosomonadaceae.